RNAcentral lists this non-coding RNA (99 nucleotides) under Leptospira weilii. RNAcentral's name for it is "TPP sequence". It matches the Rfam family "TPP riboswitch aptamer (THI element)". From Rfam's summary of the family: Vitamin B(1) in its active form thiamin pyrophosphate (TPP) is an essential coenzyme that is synthesised by coupling of pyrimidine and thiazole moieties in bacteria. The record is from RNAcentral. Lineage: Bacteria; Pseudomonadati; Spirochaetota; Leptospiria; Leptospirales; Leptospiraceae.
UGAAACCGUUGGGGGUGGGGCUAAUAAAAAUAGCCUCUGAGAGAGUCCCCGGAACCUGAUCGGGAUAAGGCCUGCGUAGGAAAACGGACCAACCAAACG